Molecule: ribosomal RNA, 407 nt
Filed under: uncultured prokaryote
Also listed under: 1 other name
Description: bacterial SSU rRNA
Rfam family: Bacterial small subunit ribosomal RNA
Source: RNAcentral
UGGGGAAUAUUGGGCAAUGGGGGGAACCCUGACCCAGCAACGCCGCGUGAAGGAAGAAGGUUUUCGGAUUGUAAACCUCUGUCCUUGGUGAAGAAAGAAAUGACGGUAGCCGAGGAGGAAGCUACGGCUAACUACGUGCCAGCAGCCGCGGUAAUACGUAGGUGGCGAGCGUUGUCCGGAAUUACUGGGUGUAAAGGGAGCGUAGGCGGGUCGGCAAGUCAGUGGUGAAAUACAUGGGCUUAACCCAUGAAUUGCCAUUGAAACUGCCGGUCUUGAGUGGAUCAGAGGCAAGCGGAAUUCCGAGUGUAGCGGUGAAAUGCGUAGAUAUUCGGAGGAACACCAGUGGCGAAGGCGGCUUGCUGGGGUCUAACUGACGCUGAGGCUCGAAAGUGCGGGGAGCAAACAGG